AGGUCUCGCCGGGACUCGAACCCGGGUUAGAGGAUUCAAAGUCCUCGGUGCUAACCACUACACUACGAAACCAU
This 74-nucleotide transfer RNA is filed under the name Plasmodium yoelii yoelii. Its description in RNAcentral is "tRNA-Gln". The record is from RNAcentral. Lineage: Eukaryota; Apicomplexa; Aconoidasida; Haemosporida; Plasmodiidae.